Molecule: unclassified non-coding RNA, 268 nt
Filed under: fungal sp.
Lineage: Eukaryota; Fungi
Description: partial internal transcribed spacer region
Rfam family: Eukaryotic small subunit ribosomal RNA (bases 1-46)
Source: RNAcentral
AAGUCGUAACAAGGUUUCCGUAGGUGAACCUGCGGAAGGAUCAUUACCGAGUUAGGGUCUUCUAGGCCCGACCUCCCAACCCUGUGUCUAUCUAACCUUUUGUUGCUUCGGCGAGCCCGUCCCCUGGGGACCGCCGGAGGACCCCUAAAGUCCUCUGGCCCGCGCCCGCCGAUGGCCCAAAACCACAAACUCUUUGAACUAAACAUGAAUUGUCUAAGUACCACAUUUAAAUAAAACAAAACUUUCAACAACGGAUCUCUUGGUUCUG